RNAcentral lists this long non-coding RNA (246 nucleotides) under Mytilus galloprovincialis (Mediterranean mussel). The record is from RNAcentral. Lineage: Eukaryota; Metazoa; Mollusca; Bivalvia; Mytilida; Mytilidae.
GGUUUGUAGCUUUUAAUUGAGACAAUUAAAUGCAAGUGCAUGCACCCGAGAUUUAAAAUUAGAUAUAUAUAACGUUAUUUUCUUUUCCUGCCAAAUUGACACAUUUUUAAAUUCCGUUUAUUUUGAUAGAAGAUGUACUGUUUAGUUCCAUUGGUAACUUUAACAUGCUUUUCAGAAAUUUAACAUGACAUGUUAUGAGCAUGAACUAGACUUUCGAGCUCAGUCUGUAUAAAUAUGAAUAUAAAA